RNAcentral lists this ribosomal RNA (271 nucleotides) under uncultured bacterium. RNAcentral's name for it is "partial 16S ribosomal RNA". It matches the Rfam family "Bacterial small subunit ribosomal RNA", at positions 524 to 794 of the family's 1533-position model. The record is from RNAcentral.
UACGGAGGGUGCAAGCGUUGUUCGGAAUUACUGGGCGUAAAGGGAGCGCAGGCGGUCGGGUCUGUCUGAAGUGAAAGCCCGUGGCUUAACCACGGAAGUGCUUUGGAUACUACCCGGCUUGAGUACGCGAGAGGAGAGCGGAAUUCCAGGUGUAGCGGUGAAAUGCGUAGAUAUCUGGAGGAACACCGGUGGCGAAAGCGGCUCUCUGGCGCGUUACUGACGCUCAGGCUCGAAAGCGUGGGGAGCAAACAGGAUUAGAUACCCGAGUAGU